CUUCGGGGUGGAUUAGUGGCGAACGGGUGAGUAACACGUGGGCAAUCUGCCCUUCACUCUGGGACAAGCCCUGGAAACGGGGUCUAAUACCGGAUAACACUCUGUCCCGCAUGGGACGGGGUUGAAAGCUCCGGCGGUGAAGGAUGAGCCCGCGGCCUAUCAGCUUGUUGGUGGGGUAAUGGCCUACCAAGGCGACGACGGGUAGCCGGCCUGAGAGGGCGACCGGCCACACUGGGACUGAGACACGGCCCAGACUCCUACGGGAGGCAGCAGUGGGGAAUAUUGCACAAUGGGCGAAAGCCUGAUGCAGCGACGCCGCGUGAGGGAUGACGGCCUUCGGGUUGUAAACCUCUUUCAGCAGGGAAGAAGCGAAAGUGACGGUACCUGCAGAAGAAGCGCCGGCUAACUACGUGCCAGCAGCCGCGGUAAUACGUAGGGCGCAAGCGUUGUCCGGAAUUAUUGGGCGUAAAGAGCUCGUAGGCGGCUUGUCACGUCGGAUGUGAAAGCCCGGGGCUUAACCCCGGGUCUGCAUUCGAUACGGGCUAGCUAGAGUGUGGUAGGGGAGAUCGGAAUUCCUGGUGUAGCGGUGAAAUGCGCAGAUAUCAGGAGGAACACCGGUGGCGAAGGCGGAUCUCUGGGCCAUUACUGACGCUGAGGAGCGAAAGCGUGGGGAGCGAACAGGAUUAGAUACCCUGGUAGUCCACGCCGUAAACGUUGGGAACUAGGUGUUGGCGACAUUCCACGU
Molecule: ribosomal RNA, 745 nt
Filed under: Streptomyces intermedius
Lineage: Bacteria; Bacillati; Actinomycetota; Actinomycetes; Kitasatosporales; Streptomycetaceae
Also listed under: 1 other name
Description: bacterial SSU rRNA
Rfam family: Bacterial small subunit ribosomal RNA
Source: RNAcentral